Molecule: transfer RNA, 77 nt
Filed under: Nitrospira sp.
Lineage: Bacteria; Pseudomonadati; Nitrospirota; Nitrospiria; Nitrospirales; Nitrospiraceae
Description: tRNA-Arg
Rfam family: tRNA
About the family: Transfer RNA (tRNA) molecules are approximately 80 nucleotides in length. Their secondary structure includes four short double-helical elements and three loops (D, anti-codon, and T loops).
Source: RNAcentral
GCCCCCGUAGCUCAGUUGGAUAGAGCAGCGGUUUCCUAAACCGUAGGUCGCACGUUCAAUCCGUGUCGGGGGCACCA